Molecule: non-coding RNA, 30 nt
Filed under: Mus musculus (house mouse)
Lineage: Eukaryota; Metazoa; Chordata; Mammalia; Rodentia; Muridae
Source: RNAcentral
AACCGACAUAGGCUCUUUGUAGCCAAGGAG